Molecule: ribosomal RNA, 392 nt
Filed under: uncultured bacterium
Lineage: Bacteria
Description: bacterial SSU rRNA
Rfam family: Bacterial small subunit ribosomal RNA
Source: RNAcentral
GACGAACGCUGGCGGCGUGCUUAACACAUGCAAGUCGAGCGGUAAGGCCCUUUCGGGGGUACGACGAGCGGCGAACGGGUGAGUAACACGUGGGUGACCUGCCCUCCAGCUCUGGGAUAAGCCUGGGAAACUGGGUCUAAUACUGGAUAUGACUCCACGGUGCAUGUCGUGGGGUGGAAAGCCUUGUGCGGCUGAGGAUGGGCCCGCGGCCUAUCAGCUUGUUGGUGGGGUGANGGCCUACCAAGGCGACGACGGGGUAGCCGGCCUGAGAGGGCGACCGGCCACACUGGGACUGAGACACGGCCCAGACUCCUACGGGAGGCAGCAGUGGGGAAUCUUGCGCAAUGGGCGAAAGCCUGACGCAGCGACGCCGCGUGAGGGAUGACGGCCUC